GACGAACGCUGGCGGCGUGCUUAACACAUGCAAGUCGAGCGGAGCGGCGAACGGGUGAGUAACGCGUGAGUAACUGCCCCCCUCCCUGGGAUAACAGUUGGAAACGGCUGCUAAUACCGGAUAGUGGGGGAUGACUCGUGUCCUAUUAGCUUGUUGGUGGGGUAGUGGCCUACCAAGGCGACGACGGGUAACCGGCCUGGGAGGGGGACCGGCCACAUGUGUCUGAGAGACGGACCAAAGGGCAACGGGAGGCAUCGGUGGGGAAUAGUGCGCAAUGGGGGAAAGCCGGAGACGGAGACGCCGGGUGCGGAAUGACGGCCUUCGGGUUGUAAACCGCUUUCAGCCAUGACGCGGUAGUGGCAGAAGAAGCACCGGCUAACUACGUGCCAGCAGCCGCGGUAAUUC
This 405-nucleotide ribosomal RNA is filed under the name uncultured bacterium. Its description in RNAcentral is "partial 16S ribosomal RNA". It matches the Rfam family "Bacterial small subunit ribosomal RNA", at positions 28 to 526 of the family's 1533-position model. The record is from RNAcentral.